UACGUAGGGGGCUAGCGUUGUCCGGAAUCAUUGGGCGUAAAGCGCGUGUAGGCGGUCCGGUAAGUCCGCUGUGAAAGUCGGGGGCUCAACCCUCGGAUGCCGGUGGAUACUGUCGGACUAGAGUACGGAAGAGGCGAGUGGAAUUCCUGGUGUAGCGGUGAAAUGCGCAGAUAUCAGGAGGAACACCGAUUGCGAAGGCAGCUCGCUGGGACGUUACUGACGCUGAGACGCGAAAGCGUGGGGAGCGAACAGG
Molecule: ribosomal RNA, 253 nt
Filed under: uncultured bacterium
Lineage: Bacteria
Description: partial 16S ribosomal RNA
Rfam family: Bacterial small subunit ribosomal RNA
Source: RNAcentral